GUGGGGAAUCUUGCGCAAUGGGCGAAAGCCUGACGCAGCCAUGCCGCGUGAAUGAUGAAGGUCUUAGGAUUGUAAAAUUCUUUCACCGGGGACGAUAAUGACGGUACCCGGAGAAGAAGCCCCGGCUAACUUCGUGCCAGCAGCCGCGGUAAUACGAAGGGGGCUAGCGUUGCUCGGAAUUACUGGGCGUAAAGGGCGCGUAGGCGGACAGUUUAGUCAGAGGUGAAAGCCCAGGGCUCAACCUUGGAAUUGCCUUUGAUACUGGCUGUCUUGAGUACGGGAGAGGUGAGUGGAACUCCGAGUGUAGAGGUGAAAUUCGUAGAUAUUCGGAAGAACACCAGUGGCGAAGGCGACUGACUGGACAAGUAUUGACGCUGAGGUGCGAAAGCGUGGGGAGCAAACAGGAUUAGAUACCCGAGUAGUCC
Molecule: ribosomal RNA, 425 nt
Filed under: uncultured bacterium
Lineage: Bacteria
Description: partial 16S ribosomal RNA
Rfam family: Bacterial small subunit ribosomal RNA
Source: RNAcentral